RNAcentral lists this ribosomal RNA (460 nucleotides) under uncultured bacterium. Its description in RNAcentral is "partial 16S ribosomal RNA". It matches the Rfam family "Bacterial small subunit ribosomal RNA", at positions 338 to 795 of the family's 1533-position model. The record is from RNAcentral.
CCUACGGGGGGCAGCAGUGAGGAAUAUUGGGCAAUGGACGCAAGUCUGAACCAGCCAUGCCGCGUGCAGGAUGACGGCUCUAUGAGUUGUAAACUGAUUUUGUACGAGGGUAAACACCGAUACGCGUAUCGGUUUGAAAGUAUCGUACGAAUAAGGAUCGGCUAACCCCGUGCCCGCAGCCGAGGUAAUACGUAGGAUCCGAGCGUUAUCCGGAUUUACUGGCUUUAAGGGGUGCGAAGGCGGUUUGAUAAGUUAGAGGUGAAAUAUCGCGGCUCAACCCCGGAACUGCCUCUAAUACUGUUGGACUAGAGAAUAGUUGCGGUAGGCGGAAUGUAUGGUGUAGCGGUGAAAUGCUUAGAGAUCAUACAGAACACCGAUUGCGAAGGCAGCUUACCAAACUAUAUCUGACGUUGAGGCACGAAAGCGUGGGUAGCAAACAGGAUUAGAUACCCUUGUAGUC